This 452-nucleotide ribosomal RNA is filed under the name uncultured bacterium. RNAcentral's name for it is "SSU rRNA". It matches the Rfam family "Bacterial small subunit ribosomal RNA", at positions 26 to 518 of the family's 1533-position model. The record is from RNAcentral.
AGGACAAACGCUGGCGGCGUGCAUAACACAUGCAAGUCGAACGAGCCUAGCGAUAGGCGAGUGGCGGACGGGUGAGGAACACGUGGAUGACCGACCUUUUACUGGGGAAUACCCGUGGGAAACCACGGCUAAAUACCGCAUACGUUCGAGAGAAGAAAGCCUUCGGGCGGUAAGAGACGGGUCUGCGGUCGAUUAGCUAGUUGGUGCGGUAACGGCGUACCAAGGCGACGAUCGAUAGCUGGUCUGAGAGGAUGAUCAGCCACAUUGGGAUUGAGAACGGCCCAAAUCCCUACGGGGAGCAGCAGUGAGGAAUAUUCGGCAAUGGGCGCAAGCCUGACCGAGCGACGCCGCGUGGGGAUGACGCAUUUCGGUGUGUAAACCCCUUUCUGUGGGACGAGAAGUGGACGGUACCACGAGGAAUAAGUCUCGGCUAACUACGUGCCAGCAGCCGC